RNAcentral lists this ribosomal RNA (482 nucleotides) under uncultured bacterium. RNAcentral describes it as "bacterial SSU rRNA". It matches the Rfam family "Bacterial small subunit ribosomal RNA", at positions 29 to 524 of the family's 1533-position model. The record is from RNAcentral.
AACGAACGCUGGCGGCGCGUCUUAAACAUGCAAGUCGAACGAUCUGUAGCAAUACAGGGAGUGGCGGACGGGUGAGGAACACGUAGGAAUCUACCUAGAAGAGCGGGACAACUUUGGGAAACCGGGGCUAAUACCGCAUAGUACAGAGAUGUUAAAGGGCUAGCAAUAGUCGCUUCUAGAUGAGCCUGCGGUCUAUCAGCUUGUUGGUGAGGUAAUGGCUCACCAAGGCAGCGACGGAUAGCCGGUCUGAGAGGAUGAUCGGCCACACUGGCACUGAGACACGGGCCAGACUCCUACGGGAGGCAGCAGUUAAGAAUCUUGCGCAAUGGGGAAACCCUGACGCAGCGACGCCGCGUGAAGGAUGAAGGCUUUCGGGUUGUAAACUUCGGUAGACUGGGAAGAAGAACUACGUUCGUUGAGGGCGUAGAGUGACGGUACCAGUCUGAAGCCCCGGCUAAUUACGUGCCAGCAGCCGCGGUAAU